UUUAAAAAAACGUAAAAUACAUAAAAUCUCAGAUCUUGCGGCAUGUUUUGUAUGUGUGUGCGUGUGUGUGUGUGUGUGUGCGUGCGCGUGUGCGUGCGUGUUUGUGCCUGAUCUGUAAAUAUUCAUCCUUUUUCUUUCUAAAAAUUUAAAUCUCGUUCCUUGACUUAUUAAUCUGUAUUAUUCUGCCACUUUAAUUGUUUCGUAAAUUUACAUAUAAAACUCCUCUUACAUAAAAUUGGAACUUUUUUUUCAAGAAUAGUUUAAAUUGUCAAAUUUAAAUAGCGUUUACAGAACUCAAGUCAUAUUAGUAUCUAAAAAAAUAUUUUAAUUUAAAAGAAGAAUAUUGAAAAUUUAAUUCAUCUUAAAAAACCAUUUACUUUAUAUACAAAGUAUAUGAAUAAAUAAUAUAUAAAAUAAUAUACAAAAGAAAUAUAUAAAAGAAUAAAAUAAUAGUCCAAAAAAUUCGCGACUAUUGAUUAAAAAGUCGUACAUGAAUUUCCUUAAAGGUUUGUCUGUGCAACACACAAAAAGAAUUCUUUGUCUACAGACAAUAUAAAAUAUUUGUUUUUUUUUUUGCAUAUAUAUACAUAUACAUACAUACAUAUAUAUACAAUAUAUAUAUAUACACACACACACACACGCGCGAAUAAGAAAGAAAAAAUUGGAAUAGCUAUAUAAAAAUCGGAUAUCUAUUGUAUCGCAAUCAAUCACUGCAUUUCUCACUUGCGUUCCGUUCUAUCACCGAUCGCUCUACAUUCUAAAUACGCAUGGCUGAGCAAAUCGAACGUUUCCACCACGUGCUAAACCUUUUAACACUUUCGUCUUUUUAACAUUGCCUCCUUCGGUUUGUUAGAUUACACGUAAUUCGACGUACUCCAAAGUACAGAAUAGUAUACAGAAAAUCGAUAUCAGAACGAUAUCACAUACCGAUUGGUGAGAGCCAAUAUUUUCAAAAAAGAAAAUAAUGAGAAUUUGGCGCGACAAACCGAACAUGACAUGCGCCCAAGUCUAUCGCAAUACGUGCAUAUAUGCUUGCAUAAAUAUCAGUCCCGUAUAUCAGAUAUCAGAGCGAGAUGGUAGUUAUUGAUAACAACGCGAGGGCGCCACGCGACGGCAGAUGGAAUUUUGUCAGCAUAACCGACAGCGAAUUUUGUUACGGAUCACGGAGAAUAGAAUUAAAAGUCCUGUAGAAAGUAUGAAGUAAUAAUGCUAUGUCAAAUUGACUUCGAUAUGCAUUUAAAUACAUCUUUUUAAAAAAUUAUUUUGCAAUUAUUCCUUUCGACUUGGUAAUCAUAUCGUGACCACCUAAUAAAGCAUCAACUUUUUAAACUCAUUUAUUCAUGUUUCCUCGAUAUAUGCGAAUUAUUUGUGCUGACUGCAAAUUUAUAUAAUAUUAAAAACGUAAAUUUCUUGCGACCUGCACGAUGUAUCUAUCUACCGUUAAUCGAGGAAGGUAUUGCGUUAGAGCAAGACAAAUUGGUGGAAUACAUUGCAAACCUCGUCGCCGGAUCUAAAAAAGUAAAAUAUUGUUUAAUAAAAAAAAAAUUAUCUUUUAGUCGUUAAAAUAGUAACCAAGUAAUCAAGUUACAAAUUUCAUGCGAAGAUUCUGCGGCUUGCUCGACAGUGUCGCGUUUAAUUUCACGAAGCUUUAGCGAGAAUUAAGUAUAUCCCGAAUAUGCAGGUAUCUAUCUAGAUAAAUUGAUGCAUAUAUCGAUUGUGCGUGCGUGUAUGCGUGCGUAUGCGUGUAUGUACACCGUGCGCUCUCCCGCAAAUCAAAACCCGGGCCUCGCCCGGGAGACGUUGAAUAAUAAUUACUGUUGUCGGCUCGCGACACGGUACUAUUGAGUUAUUCCAAUGCGAGUUUAUCAAAGUGGGUCAAGCGAUUCAAUAGCGGCCGCGACGGAGGAGAAACGGACUCAUCGUCUUUAACGGCGUGGGUGGUGGACGUGUGUGCUCGUGUCAUAAAAACCGCGUAUGUAGGAGUCGUUUACGUGUUACCGGUUGUACACCAAUCCGGGAGUAUUUGCGUUUAUGGAGAAAGAAAACGGGGAGAAAGAAAAGGAAAAAAGAUUCUUUCGCGCGUCAAAAUCGGUGGAAAUAUCUCGGUGCAACGACGAGAGACGUUAUCCCUGGCAUUUCUUUUAAUCAUACGUGGAAGUGGAUUGAGAAAAAAAGACGGUUGUUUUACCUUCCCAAUUACACCUACGGCGUAAAAAGAAAGUGAUAUAUAACCAUUUUGUUCCUUUUAUUUUUUUCUUAAUUUAAUUGAACACAAAACGGUUUAAAAAAAAUUUUUUAGCAUCAACUCCUAUUAGAAUAUAAAUUGGAUGUAAUAUGAUGAAUAUAAGUUGGACGGAUUGACAAAAUAAAAAAAUUACGUAAAAUAAGCAUGAAGCGACCUAAAUCUUGAAAUGUGUAUUUCUUUUCGUAACAUUUUCUCAAUUCACUUCUAUUCGUUUCUUUUCUUUCUUCUUCUAAAUUUUGUUUAAAAAAAUUUCAUGGUACGCUUUACCCCAAUUAGAUUCUGUGAAUCCAUUACGGAAGCUACAGUUUACGAACCUCACAGUAGGAGAUAACAUAUAGUUACCUCCUCAUAGUACAAUUGCAUAAUUUUAAAUGUCUUUUGGGCUAACUCAAAAAAAUCAUGAAUAAAAUAAAAGAAUAAUUUAUGUCUGUCCACUACUAUAUAAUAUCCUUGAGACAGAUAUGAUCCAGACAUAAAUCAUUCAUGUCGGAGCAUCUUUACACACCUCCUGGUGAGAAUGUGAAGCAACAUCAGUUGUGAAUUGGAAAACAAACGAGAUUCUAUUAUAUAGAUAUUUCUUACGUAAUAUCCUUAACAAAACGGAAUGAUUAAAAAAAAAAAGGUGUUUUUCCUUCAAAGACGAUUUUAUAUCAAAGGCAGACAGUCACUAAUGAAAAGUUACUGGAACUAAUGCAUGGAGUAAAUGAUAAAGAUGAAAUGGAAAAGGAUUGACAGUAAAAAAUAUAAGUAUAAAGAGGGUCGCGUGUCCAUUGUUAUCUUAAUUAUUUCCGAAUAAAGACAGAAAAGGGAAAGUUCUAUUCAGAUAUCGUAAUUUAUCGACGCCUUAUUGAAACAUUCAAAGAUACCUUCUAUCAUUGUCGUAUCUUUUGACGCAGGUUUCUUUCCAUACGUUAAAACGCAAUUGCCAGAAUUUCGGACACCUUUUAUAGAGUUCGAGAAGCACAUGGCUAACUUUUGUACACUCAGACAAAAUUACAUAUUUAAUUAUAAGAUACAUUUAACUUUUAUUUCGACAUGCCUAUCAUAAAAUAUCAAAGACAAAACUGAGUACUUUCUCAUGAUGUUUAAGCGAAAUUUUAAGUGUCUUAUAUUAAUGUAGGCAGAAAUUUCAUAUCAAUAAGUUAUUUACGCGAUUUUCCGAUUCUCGUCACAUGUUUGCGGUAAAAGUUCUUUGAAUCUUUGUGUUAAAAAGUUUCGAGUUUUUAUUCGUAUCACAACAAAAGAGGAGAUCCCGUCGUGCUUUCGCCAUGAAAUUUGACACGUGGCAUGACGAAAUUAAGAAAUUCCGUCAUCGACGACCCAAAUUUAUGAUGAAAGAAAGAGGAAAGUGCACGCAUGUAGAAUAUUCGUCCGAAUCCGAUACAUAAUUUGGCAAAAAACGCAGUUAGAUAGGUACGUGGAAUUACGAAUAAAAUUAUUACAUCACAAACACGUGAUGUAAUAAAAAGGGAUAUUUUUACCUCUUCCCAAUUCUACAAAUUUUUUAAUUUAAAAGUGACAUGAUAAAAUUACGUUUAUCUAAUAAUUCGCGCGCACGCGCUACACGACAAAGGACAAUACAAUGUUAUCGUAAUAGGCAUUUACAUCGGCGUUGUAAAAUGUCCGAGAGACAAUUGGGCAAUGUUGUUACACGACCGUAACCAAAUCUUUCAUCCCUGCUGUUACGUAAUAACAAAGUGAAAGCGGGAUCGUCGUCACUUGCGUGUGCACAACAUCGAAUACUUCUACAAUCAAUUUACCCUCAACGUUACAUUUUUCUUUGAACAAUACUCACUUUUCCUCCCUUGCUUUUCUAUUUGCCAUGACUCGGAUGAAUGAUGAGACCUUUCGCUCGGGUAAGAAAUGAAAUUUUUCUUCUUUAACCGAACACACAUAAAUCACGUAAGUGAUUUUGCGCGUGCGAAGCGUGUGUCAUUCGCCUGAUGCAAGCAAGAUGCGCAACAAGUGUAUCUCUGGUAACAAUGGAUAUUGAUGCACUCUUAUUUACAUUGUUAAACUGGUAUUGUCAAACUACUUAAUUUAAAUCAUUUUUAACGAUUUAAUAGGUCGCCAUUGCUCCUACCCAAUAGAAAGAUUAAAUUUAAUAAAUCAACGAUAUAUCGAGUAAGUACUUAUUUAACAUUACUCAAAUUAAUUACUUGGUUUAGUCAAAUUAACCAAAUAUCGAGUUGGAGCAAUUGCGACAAUGGAAAUUAACAGUGUACAUCACGCGAUACUUACAUAGAAUCCCUAGAAUAGGGACUUUCUAGUUUAGUCCAAGUCUAUUCUAAGGACUCUACCUGCGUGCGUGCACCCGCCUUGUCCUCUCUUUGAAUUUAUUAUGAGCGGUAGAAUUUCUGAAUUUUGUGUGGCACGCGCCAAAUUUCAUGAUGAAAGCACAGCAGGAAUCUUUCCUUUGUUUCAUUCUUUCGUUACGUUCGUACAAAUAAAAGCCGACCAAACUGAUUUAUAUUUCACGCUGAAACUGCCGUAACAAUCAUAAACAAAAUAUAAAGUACAUUGUUACGACAAUAAAACAGACCGAAAAGUUUGAAAUGUGACAAAGUACACCAGUCACAAAUAAAAUACAAAAAAGAAACACAAAAAAAGGAAAAUGUUUGAAGCAAAGAAAUAAAAUUUCUCAUCCAACGAGCUUCGUAUUCAUUGAAAAAAUUAUAAGCUUUGAGUGAAACUACCUAAGAAAAAUUAACUAUAAUUGGCAUACACUUCUGAACCCUUUGAAUUCAGUUUUUUUUCUUUCUAGGAAAAUUGCUUUAUUGCGUUCGUCAAAAUAAGAUAAAUGCAACAUGUUGCUAUAAAAUUUGUCGGUACAACUGCCUCAAUCUUUUGCGUACAUUCUACAUAUUAUAAAUCAACUAGUAAUAAUAAAUUUACUCAAUUGUUUAAUUGAUUCGACAUAUAUUAAGUAAUUUUAUUUGCCUACACCAUUACCGAUUUUUCAAGUAGUUUCGUGAAAUAUACAAUCAACUAUUAUGAAUAUAUAAAAAUAAGAGAUAAUAGAUCAUUUGUAAAUUUUUAAUUUACAAAUCUUGUAUUGUUUAUAACUACAUUUAAAUUUAUGUUUAAUUAUAUGCAAAAAAUAUUUUAAUUACAUAGAAGGUAUAAUUUCAGAUAAUUAUAAAAAUGUAAUUUUUAUAUUAAUAUAUUGACACGCGUAAUUAUCAAGAUUCCGAGUCAAACCGGAAUCGAAACCGAACAUUUCACAACCGUUACAGUCAGAGCGUAAAGUAUAUUAAAAUUCUAUUAAAUUUAAAACAUCGAAAUCAUUAAAUUAUUUUCGAUUUAUAGUUCUUUUCAGUAUAUUUUCAGUUGUUUCAAUUUAUUUUGUACAAACUUAUAUGACUUAUUUAAAUUUUUUAUUCUUUUCUUAACUGGUCAUUUUAAUAAUAUUUCGAUAAUGAUGAAACCAAUGUCAUGAUUACAUUAUGCAUAUCUUUCAAAUGUAACACACUCCGCGUGGUAAAUUUGGCAAAAUUUUGGAUUUGGUUCUACUACGCUUAUGGCUAAGGUUUAGCUUGAUACUAUAAACGCUUCGAAGCAUUUUUUGGUUAAUCAAUUCAUGAAAUUCUUUGUUGUAAUUGGUCAAUAAAAUGCUUUGGAGCGUUUAUAGCGUCAAGUGGACCGCAGACUGUCGCACACAGUGAAACAUAGUGAAUGAAUAAAAAUAAUAUUAUUUAUUAAAUAUGUAUUACGUAUAAGAAUUAUAUUAUGUAUAAUUAUAAAAUUAAAUAAACUUAGCAAGUGAAGUUCGAUCUAAAUUAUAUCCGGGCUCUCGUCCGGAUGAAUAAUAAUGUAGUCGCGUGGAAGCGCGACUAUAUUAUUAUUCAUCGAAACGAGGCCUAAAAUAUAAUUAUAUAUAUUAUAUUAUGUAAGGAAUUAUAUAAGAAAGUCUUACUAAGAAUUUAAAUUAAGAAUUUUUUUACCAUGUAAAAAAAUUAUAUUAAACGAAGCAUUUAUAUACGCACAUACACACAAUAUUUAUAACAAAGAAAGGAGAAUUAAAUAUAUAUUCUAAAUAUAAAUUAUUAAUCAUAUUAAUUAAACACAAUAUACAUUAAUUUUGUUUGCUACGUUUUGCUUGCAAUUUUGCUUACAACUAUUCCUGUCUUUUUUUCUUGGUUCUCUUCAUUAUUCUUUGUUUUUCUCUUUUGCAAUGCAAUGAGUUUAUGGGGACAAUUCAAAUCAACCUUUGCCUCCUCUACGUACUCAAUUAUUUAAAUUACUAUUACAUGUUAUUAAAUAUUAUUAAUUACUAUUCAAUUAUUACUUAUUAAGUGAUAUUAAGAUCAAGAAUCGAAACUGUAAUCGAAAAAACCGCAAUUUAAACUUUUUUUUUUAUUUGUCAAGAAACUGAAACUGAAAACCGGUAGUUUCCAAAUAUUUGAUUAAAUCAUAACUGAAACCGAACCAUAAUUUUAUUUCGGGUCUUUGGUAAUUACUAAUCACUUCAUUUUGGACUAAUCGCUUCACCUUGCAUCAUAUUGGUUCUGUUUCUAUUAUUAAUCGUUUUUUACUUAGUUAUUAUCUUUGUACAAUAUCGAAGAGAUUAUACUUUGUGUAAUUGUUAUUUAGAGGACAAUAAUGACAGAUUUGCACUCGCGUUAAGCUGCCGGUAUCCAAAUUAAGCCAUCAUUAGUAUAUGCGUGGCAAUUGCAAAAUUGCGACCGGAAUAUUUCCGAUGGCGGAAUCUCACGCGCUACAUUAUCAAAUUGGCAGGAGCUGUGCGCGAUACUUCCUGUUGAUAAUUUUAUGUCAUUUCCUAUACAUUAUCUAUUCUGAUACCCGUUUCGCGAUGAACAGCGACACUUGUACUUGUUCAUCAAGUGACAAUCGAUUGUGUCUUCAUCAUUCAUACUUCAUCCGAAAAAGGAUGUACAUUCAAGAGUCGAUAAGAAAAUCAUGAGACAUAUUCAAGUAUAACAUUCACAGACAAUAUUGUUUUUCCUUUAAGCAAACAAUUAGCAAAUUUAACUAUUUUUAAAUGUAUUUAAUAUAAUUACAUAAUUCAUGUGUAAUUUUCGUCAUAAGAUUUUGAUUAAGCAGAUAAAAACGUGUUUAAUAAAAGGUAUAACUUUGUAAAAAAUAUCUUAAAAAAAAUUGCUUUGCAACUCGGUAUUUAUCAUUUGUUUACCGAUGUUACCGGAAACGCAUGGUGAUCUCGCGUGCCAACACAAUUCCGGGUAUGGUUCGGCGAUCAUAGCGGCGAGUGUCACGUCAUUGUCAGCCACGUGAGAGAGACACACAAUUGUCUUUCCUGUUAUAAAUUACUUCGACGCAUCGUAACAGAAAGCGUCAACCAGCUUUGCUGCGUGUUGUAAAGUCGACAAUAGUGCGCGACGUGAGUACGGAGAUGUCUGGUCGAUAAAUUACGAUGAAAGUAUAAACGCGUUUCUACAAAUUUUGAUCCGUGUGGAACAUCGGAACCAUAAUAACUUAUUUUGAAGUAGUUUUCCCGACUACUACACAAUACAGAAUUCAAUAACUACUUAUUCUCGUGGAUGUCUAUGAGUAUGCCACGAGAAAAAAAUCAAUAAAAAAAGAAUUAUUAUUCGCUUAAAGAAAUAAUUCUUGAGAAAAUAGCAAAAAUGUCACAUAAAAUAGUUUAAUAUACCUUGAAUUAAAAACGAGUGAGCACGAACGUUUUAUAUUUAAUCUUUGACUGUUUUCUUUGAAACUAUAAUGUAUCGUCGAAUUUAUCUACAAACGAAAUUGAUUAUUUUUGUGAUUCAAAAACGACCCAACGGCGUUUGCCGAUAGUUGCAAAAAAAAACAAAAAACGGAAGCUGACCGCGCGAAAAGUGGAGCAGGUCGACCGUCCGACGCCUCCGUGACACUAAUUAUCCACUUUAAUUCGUAUAUGUCGAAAUCGCAUGCAAAUUUUAUGCGAACAGAUUCAACCACGGGUUGUUGCGUCCGGCACGUCUUCGCGAGUCAGAUUUUGUUCAACGUUUAAAUGCAGCGAUACUUGUGCGACGAUGUACAUUGCUUUUUUAUUUCACAGAUCAGGAUUCUUUUAUUUAUAAUUACAAUACAUAUAAUAUCAUAUAUGUAUAUGACGCAAUUCAAGUAGAGAAUUAGAUAGGUGAAUAAACGAUCAUGGCGGAUUUUUGUGCUUCUUGUCACAGAGAAUAACAGCAGGGUAAGAGCGGCUAAGAACAUGCAACUUAUUAAUUAGAUAAUUCUGAAGUGGAGCAAAGGUUUGAGAUGACUAGACAAAUGGACGGAUAAACUGGGACAAGUGGAAGAACGGGGCAAAUAUUAAAACAAAAACUCUGUUUGACAAAUUUAUUAAUAAUUUCAUGGAUUCAAAAACACGACAAAAACGUCAUCAAAUUUCAAGUAUUAAAAAAAUAUUUUCAUAAUUUGUGAAAUAAUAAUUAACUCGCUUCUCUUCCUGAUCAUCGUUUUAUUUAGCACCUGUAUUUAAACGGAACCGGCUUGCCCCAGUCUACUAUACUUAAAUGAUUCAGUGGAGUCAUCGUCGCGUUGGGUAGAAGCGUGCGGAUACUUUGCAAACGAGCUUCGUGGAAUACCGGCUCGUCUCGAAUGAACGCAGAGACAAAACAAAGAAGUGGUGUGCAGUUGGAGAGAGCCAUUGAGAGGAAAAA
RNAcentral lists this long non-coding RNA (8874 nucleotides) under Monomorium pharaonis (pharaoh ant). RNAcentral describes it as "uncharacterized LOC118647924". Lineage: Eukaryota; Metazoa; Arthropoda; Insecta; Hymenoptera; Formicidae. The record is from RNAcentral.